CAGACUCCUACGGGAGGCAGCAGUGGUUAAUAUUUGACAAUGGGCGCAAGCCUGAUGCGGCCAUGCCGCGUGUAUGAAGAACGCCUUCGGGUUGUAAAGCACUUUUGAUGAGGAAGAAAUCGAUAUGGCUAAUACCCUUUUGCAUUGACGUUACCCUAAGAACAAGCACCGGCUAACUCCGUGCCAGCAGCCGCGGUAAUAC
RNAcentral lists this ribosomal RNA (202 nucleotides) under Enterobacteriaceae bacterium. RNAcentral's name for it is "partial 16S ribosomal RNA". It matches the Rfam family "Bacterial small subunit ribosomal RNA", at positions 332 to 526 of the family's 1533-position model. The record is from RNAcentral. Lineage: Bacteria; Pseudomonadati; Pseudomonadota; Gammaproteobacteria; Enterobacterales; Enterobacteriaceae.